This 280-nucleotide ribosomal RNA is filed under the name uncultured bacterium. RNAcentral's name for it is "partial 16S ribosomal RNA". It matches the Rfam family "Bacterial small subunit ribosomal RNA", at positions 506 to 784 of the family's 1533-position model. The record is from RNAcentral.
UGCCAGCAGCCGCGGUAAGACGGAGGGCGCAAGCGUUGUUCGGAAUUACUGGGCGUAAAGCGCGGGCAGGUGGUUCGUUAAGUCGUCUGUGAAAACCCGGGGCUCAACCCCGUGGAAUGCAGGCGAUACUGGCGAGCUGGAGAUCGGUAGAGGCUAGCGGAAUUCCUGGUGUAGCGGUGGAAUGCGUAGAUAUCAGGAAGAACACCAGUGGCGAAGGCGGCUAGCUGGGCCGAGUCUGACACUCAUCCGCGAAGGCGUGGGUAGCGAACGGGAUUAGAUA